RNAcentral lists this ribosomal RNA (398 nucleotides) under uncultured bacterium. Its description in RNAcentral is "partial 16S ribosomal RNA". It matches the Rfam family "Bacterial small subunit ribosomal RNA", at positions 523 to 918 of the family's 1533-position model. The record is from RNAcentral.
AUACGUAGGGUGCGAGCGUUGUCCGGAAUUACUGGGCGUAAAGAGUUCGUAGGUGGUUUGUCGCGUCGUCUGUGAAAUUCCGGGGCUUAACUCCGGGCGUGCAGGCGAUACGGGCAUAACUUGAGUACUGUAGGGGAGACUGGAAUUCCUGGUGUAGCGGUGAAAUGCGCAGAUAUCAGGAGGAACACCGGUGGCGAAGGCGGGUCUCUGGGCAGUAACUGACGCUGAGGAGCGAAAGCAUGGGUAGCGAACAGGAUUAGAUACCCUGGUAGUCCAUGCCGUAAACGGUGGGCGCUAGGUGUAGGGGUCUUCCACGACUUCUGUGCCGUAGCUAACGCAUUAAGCGCCCCGCCUGGGGAGUGCGGCCGCAAGGCUAAAACUCAAAGGAAUUGACGGGG